This 395-nucleotide unclassified non-coding RNA is filed under the name soil metagenome. Its description in RNAcentral is "partial contains 5.8S ribosomal RNA, internal transcribed spacer 2, and large subunit ribosomal RNA". The stretch from base 1 to 122 matches the Rfam family "5.8S ribosomal RNA", at positions 35 to 154 of the family's 154-position model. The record is from RNAcentral.
GAUGAAGAACGUAGCGAAAUGCGAUACUUGGUGUGAAUUGCAGAAUCCCGUGAACCAUCGAGUCUUUGAACGCAAGUUGCGCCCGAAGCCAUCAGGUUGAGGGCACGUCUGCCUGGGCGUCACAUAUCGUUGCCCAAUGCCUAUUGCAGUGCAAUAGGAAUUUCUAGGGCGAAUGAUGGCUUCCCGUGAGCGUUGUUGCCUCGCGGUUGGUUGAAAAUCGAGUCCUUGGUAGGGUGUGCCAUGGUAGAUGGUGGUCGAGUUAGAACGAUACCGAUCAUGUGCAUGCUCCCCAAAAUAUGGCCUCUAUGACCCACACGCGUCCUUUGACGCUCAUGACGAGACCUCAGGUCAGGCGGGGCUACCCGCUGAAUUUAAGCAUAUCAAUAAGCGGAGGA